GUCAGGAUGGCCGAGCGGUCUAAGGCGCCAGACUCAAGGAUAUAAACCUUACUUCUACAAGAGAAGCAUCAGAAUUCUGGUCUUCAAUGAAGGCGUGGGUUCAAAUCCCACUCCUUACA
RNAcentral lists this transfer RNA (119 nucleotides) under Daphnia magna. It matches the Rfam family "tRNA". Rfam says of the family: Transfer RNA (tRNA) molecules are approximately 80 nucleotides in length. Their secondary structure includes four short double-helical elements and three loops (D, anti-codon, and T loops). Further hydrogen bonds mediate the characteristic L-shaped molecular structure. tRNAs have two regions of fundamental functional importance: the anti-codon, which is responsible for specific mRNA codon recognition, and the 3' end, to which the tRNAs corresponding amino acid is attached (by aminoacyl-tRNA synthetases). tRNAs cope with the degeneracy of the genetic code in two manners: having more than one tRNA (with a specific anti-codon) for a particular amino acid; and 'wobble' base-pairing, i.e. permitting non-standard base-pairing at the 3rd anti-codon position. Lineage: Eukaryota; Metazoa; Arthropoda; Branchiopoda; Diplostraca; Daphniidae. The record is from Rfam by way of RNAcentral.